RNAcentral lists this ribosomal RNA (515 nucleotides) under uncultured bacterium. RNAcentral's name for it is "partial 16S ribosomal RNA". It matches the Rfam family "Bacterial small subunit ribosomal RNA", at positions 28 to 523 of the family's 1533-position model. The record is from RNAcentral.
GAUGAACGCUGGCGGCGUGCCUAAUACAUGCAAGUCGAGCGAAUGGAUUAAGAGCUUGCUCUUAUGAAGUUAGCGGCGGACGGGUGAGUAACACGUGGGUAACCUGCCCAUAAGACUGGGAUAACUCCGGGAAACCGGGGCUAAUACCGGAUAACAUUUUGAACCGCAUGGUUCGAAAUUGAAAGGCGGCUUCGGCUGUCACUUAGUGAUGGACCCGGGUCGCAUUAGCUAGUUGGUGAGGUAACGGCUCACCAAGGCAACGAUGCGUAGCCGACCUGGGAGGGUGAUCGGCCACACUGGGACUGAGACACGGCCCAGUCUCCUACGGGAGGCAGCAGUAGGGAAUCUUCCGCAAUGGACGAAAGUCUGACGGAGCAACGCCGCGUGAGUGAUGAAGGCUUUCGGGUCGUAAAACUCUGUCGUUAGGGAAGAACAAGUGCUAGUUGAAUAAGCUGGCACCUUGACGGUACCUAACCAGAAAGCCACGGCUAACUACGUGCCAGCCGCCGCUGUAA